GUUAAGCGACUAAGCGUACACGGUGGAUGCCCUGGCAGUCAGAGGCGAUGAAGGACGUGCUAAUCUGCGAUAAGCGUCGGUAAGGUGAUAUGAACCGUUAUAACCGGCGAUUUCCGAAUGGGGAAACCCAGUGUGAUUCGUCACACUAUCAUUAACUGAAUCCAUAGGUUAAUGAGGCGAACCGGGGGAACUGAAACAUCUAAGUACCCCGAGGAAAAGAAAUCAACCGAGAUUCCCCCAGUAGCGGCGAGCGAACGGGGAGCAGCCCAGAGCCUGAAUCAGUGUGUGUGUUAGUGGAAGCGUCUGGAAAGGCGCGCGAUACAGGGUGACAGCCCCGUACACAAAAAUGCACAUGCUGUGAGCUCGAUGAGUAGGGCGGGACACGUGGUAUCCUGUCUGAAUAUGGGGGGACCAUCCUCCAAGGCUAAAUACUCCUGACUGACCGAUAGUGAACCAGUACCGUGAGGGAAAGGCGAAAAGAACCCCGGCGAGGGGAGUGAAAAAGAACCUGAAACCGUGUACGUACAAGCAGUGGGAGCACGCUUAGGCGUGUGACUGCGUACCUUUUGUAUAAUGGGUCAGCGACUUAUAUUCUGUAGCAAGGUUAACCGAAUAGGGGAGCCGAAGGGAAACCGAGUCUUAACUGGGCGUUAAGUUGCAGGGUAUAGACCCGAAACCCGGUGAUCUAGCCAUGGGCAGGUUGAAGGUUGGGUAACACUAACUGGAGGACCGAACCGACUAAUGUUGAAAAAUUAGCGGAUGACUUGUGGCUGGGGGUGAAAGGCCAAUCAAACCGGGAGAUAGCUGGUUCUCCCCGAAAGCUAUUUAGGUAGCGCCUCGUGAAUUCAUCUCCGGGGGUAGAGCACUGUUUCGGCAAGGGGGUCAUCCCGACUUACCAACCCGAUGCAAACUGCGAAUACCGGAGAAUGUUAUCAC
RNAcentral lists this ribosomal RNA (936 nucleotides) under Escherichia coli. Its description in RNAcentral is "partial 23S ribosomal RNA". It matches the Rfam family "Bacterial large subunit ribosomal RNA", at positions 1 to 978 of the family's 2925-position model. Lineage: Bacteria; Pseudomonadati; Pseudomonadota; Gammaproteobacteria; Enterobacterales; Enterobacteriaceae. The record is from RNAcentral.